ACCCCCCGAUAAGAAUGCUCCAAGUGACAACAUUCGGACUUAGUCCACAAUUAACCAUUUCACCCAAGAGAUGCAUAACCUUAUUUAUGUUUUUAAUUUUACACCAUCCAUGAAUUAAUGAAUUA
This 125-nucleotide microRNA precursor is filed under the name Cajanus cajan (pigeon pea). Its description in RNAcentral is "miRNA gene-KK1_049180". The record is from RNAcentral. Lineage: Eukaryota; Viridiplantae; Streptophyta; Magnoliopsida; Fabales; Fabaceae.